Molecule: long non-coding RNA, 905 nt
Organism: Oncorhynchus keta (chum salmon)
Lineage: Eukaryota; Metazoa; Chordata; Actinopteri; Salmoniformes; Salmonidae
Exons: 3
Source: RefSeq, a predicted model, not a curated record
UGGAGCUGAAGGCUGGGACUGGAUGGUGUUAACUUAAGAGAUAGGUGGGAGGGGUUGAAUGGAGCUGAAGGCUGGGACUGGAUGGUGUUAACUUAAGAGAUAGGUGGGAGGGGUUGAAUGGAGCUGAAGGCUGGGACUGGAUGGUGUUAACUUAAGAGAUAGGUGGGAGGGGUUGAAUGGAGCUGAAGGCUGGGACUGGAUGGUGUUAACUUAAGAGAUAGGUGGGAGGGGUUGAAUGGAGCUGAAGGCUGGGACUGGAUGGUGUUAACUUAAGAGAUAGGUGGGAGGGGUUGAAUGGAGCUGAAGGCUGGGACUGGAUGGUGUUAACUUAAGAGAUAGGUGGGAGGGGUUGAAUGGAGCUGAAGGCUGGGACUGGAUGGUGUUAACUUAAGAGAUAGGUGGGAGGGGUUGAAUGGAGCUGAAGGCUGGGACUGGAUGGUGUUAACUUAAGAGAUAGGUGGGAGGGGUUGAAUGGAGCUGAAGGCUGGGACUGGAUGGUGUUAACUUAAGAGAUAGGUGGGAGGGGUUGAAUGGAGCUGAAGGCUGGGACUGGAUGGUGUUAACUUAAGAGAUAGGUGGGAGGGGUUGAAUGGAGCUGAAGGCUGGGACUGGAUGGUGUUAACUUAAGAGAUAGGUGGGAGGGGUUGAAUGGAGCUGAAGGCUGGGACUGGAUGGUGUUAACUUAAGAGAUAGGUGGGAGGGGUUGAAUGGAGCUGAAGGCUGGGACUGGAUGGUGUUAACUUAAGAGAUAGGUGGGAGGGGUUGAAUGGAGAUGGGACUAAUAACAACUAGAUAACUCAUGUAAAAGAUUAAGAUGGGCAAAAGGACACAGACACAGGACAGAGAUAUGGCUUUGUCUUUGCAAACCUGCCUAGAAGGCCAGCAUCCCGGAGUCGCCUCUUCAC